GAUGAACGCUGGCGGCGUGCUUAACACAUGCCAGUCGAACGAUGAAGCCCAGCUUGCUGGGUGGAUUAGUGGCGAACGGGUGAGUAACACGUGAGUAACCUGCCCUUAACUCUGGGAUAAGCCUGGGAAACUGGGUCUAAUACCGGAUAGGAGCGUCCACCGCAUGGUGGGUGUUGGAAAGAUUUAUCGGUUUUGGAUGGACUCGCGGCCUAUCAGCUUGUUGGUGAGGUAAUGGCUCACCAAGGCGACGACGGGUAGCCGGCCUGAGAGGGUGACCGGCCACACUGGGACUGAGACACGGCCCAGACUCCUACGGGAGGCAGCAGUGGGGAAUAUUGCACAAUGGGCGAAAGCCUGAUGCAGCGACGCCGCAUGAGGGAUGACGGCCUUCGGGUUGUAAACCUCUUUCAGUAGGGAAGAAGCGAAAGUGACGGUACCUGCAGAAGAAGCACCGGCUAACUACGUG
Molecule: ribosomal RNA, 466 nt
Filed under: uncultured bacterium
Lineage: Bacteria
Description: partial 16S ribosomal RNA
Rfam family: Bacterial small subunit ribosomal RNA
Source: RNAcentral